RNAcentral lists this unclassified non-coding RNA (214 nucleotides) under uncultured fungus. Its description in RNAcentral is "sequence contains ITS2". The record is from RNAcentral. Lineage: Eukaryota; Fungi.
AAUUCUCAACCCCCCUAUUUUGUAAUGAGAUGGGUUAAGGGGCUUGGUUAUGGCUGCCUGCAGGACUUUAAUCAGUCCGGCUCAGCUGAAAUACACGAGUUGCCUCUAUUACAAUUAAGCUUGACGGCUUGACUCGGCGUAAUAAUUUUAAUCGCUGGGAACGUCUCGACAAUUGUUAAUUAGAUGGUGCUUCUAAUCUUAUAACAUUUUAAGC